AGAGUUUGAUCAUGGCUCAGGAUGAACGCUAGCGGGAGGCUUAAUACAUGCAAGUCGAACGGCAGCAUUAUUAAAUUUAUUUAGUAGAUGGCAAGUGGCGCACGGGUGAGUAACGCGUACACAACCUACCCUUAAGAGUGGGAUAGCCCUGGGAAACUGGGAAUAAUACCGCAUAAUAUUAAUUAGUUGCAUAGCUGAUUAAUUAAAGUUGAGGCGCUUAAGGAUGGGUGUGCGUUCCAUUAGCUAGUUGGUAAGGUAACGGCUUACCAAGGCGACGAUGGGUAGGGGGCGUGAGAGCGUGAUCCCCCACACGGGUACUGAGACACGGACCCGACUCCUACGGGAGGCAGCAGUAAGGAAUAUUGGACAAUGGGCGAAAGCCUGAUCCAGCCAUCCCGCGUGCAGGAUGAAUGCCCUAUGGGUUGUAAACUGCUUUUAUAAGGGAAGAAACCCCCGGACUUGUCUGGGGCUGACGGUACCCUUAAGAAUAAGCACCGGCUAACUCCGU
Molecule: ribosomal RNA, 508 nt
Filed under: uncultured bacterium
Lineage: Bacteria
Description: bacterial SSU rRNA
Rfam family: Bacterial small subunit ribosomal RNA
Source: RNAcentral